ACUCCUGACCUCAAGUGAUCCGACCGCUUCAGCCUUCCAAAGUGCUGGGAUUACAGGUGUGAGCCACCACACCUGGCCUCAAACAUCCUUCUUUACUAAUCAAACUGUACCUGCUCUUUGAGGAAACAGGCUGUGCCCCAGCUUCGGGCAGCAGAGGUGGAGAUCAAAGAUCUGCAGUCCGAGUUUCAGCUGGAGAAGAUUGAUUACUUGGCCACCAUCCGCCGGCAGGAGCGUGACUCCAUGCUCUUGCAGCAGCUCCUGGAGCAGGUGCAGCCCCUGAUUCGCAGGGACUGUAACUACAGCAACCUGGAGAAGAUUCGGC
RNAcentral lists this small RNA (322 nucleotides) under Pongo abelii (Sumatran orangutan). Its description in RNAcentral is "processed transcript". The record is from RNAcentral. Lineage: Eukaryota; Metazoa; Chordata; Mammalia; Primates; Hominidae.